RNAcentral lists this long non-coding RNA (242 nucleotides) under Medicago truncatula (barrel medic). RNAcentral's name for it is "long non-coding RNA (MTRU_LNC003245)". The record is from RNAcentral. Lineage: Eukaryota; Viridiplantae; Streptophyta; Magnoliopsida; Fabales; Fabaceae.
AUUAAUUGGAGUUAUUAGGAAUUUGGGGGGAGUUAAGUGUAAUUAGGAGGGAGUUACUCUUAAGUGGGAAGUUAAGAAAAUAGAAAGUGGGAGUCAGAAACAGUUUUACGUGAAACCAAGCCAAGGAAGAGAAAACCAGGAGCAAGAGAGAAGAACCAGAGGAACCCUUUUUGCUGUGCAUUUUUCAUUCUGAAUUAAGGUAAGGGUGGGGUUUACUUCAAUGGUGUAGAAUUUAAAGUCUG